GCAUUAGGGGUUCAGUGGUAGAAUUCUUGCCUUCCAUGCAGGAGAACUGGGUUCGAUUCCUGGCCAGGGUC
RNAcentral lists this transfer RNA (71 nucleotides) under Loxodonta africana (African savanna elephant). It matches the Rfam family "tRNA". From Rfam's summary of the family: Transfer RNA (tRNA) molecules are approximately 80 nucleotides in length. Their secondary structure includes four short double-helical elements and three loops (D, anti-codon, and T loops). The record is from Rfam by way of RNAcentral. Lineage: Eukaryota; Metazoa; Chordata; Mammalia; Proboscidea; Elephantidae.